CGUUUGUUUUGUCCUUCAUCUUACAUCGCUGAUCCUCGGCAUGCGCGCGCAAAUAAACAGUAUUCUGCGCAUGCUCGGUGACCUGUAAUUUCACCACACCUCCAGAAACGCCCACUUUACGUCACAGUACUGAAACACCUGGAAUUUAGUGAACGUCAUUUCUCUUUUUACUUUUCUUUCGUCUUCUACCUGAUUCGCUGACUGGUGUCGACUCGAUCAAUGACUGCGUCACUGCCGCGCUGCUGUUGCACCAAUCAGCGCUCUGGAUUUCCCAAAGAAGGCGGGACUUCCGGUAUAAAAGCACCGUCUAGGAAGUGGAUUAUUCGACGUCAGAUCUAGACUAGAACAGGUUGAGACUGGACAGAGAGUCACAUUAAGAGAGCGCUGUGUUGUGUGUAAGGUUUAUUGUACUCUCAGACGUUUGAGCUGCACUUUGUGAUUCUAUGAUGACAGAGUUCAUUCUAAUUAAGAAAAAAAAGGUGUCAAAACCUGAUACAGCCAAAUAUGAGGACUCGCUUGAGCUGCACGUGGUGCUGUUGGAAUUGGAGGCAAUCUAGAAACAGAUCCGCAGCCUACUCGACAAGCUGGCCCAGCUGCAUGAGCGAAGAACUGCACUGGAAACAUCUUGUGCUAUCAACAUCUUGUGCUAUUCUUUUGGCUCCAACUCAAAAGAAAAAUAAUUAGAGAGAAAAAGCUAGCACUCUGGUAUAACGAUCAAAUGCGUACCUUAAAACAGACCACACAAUUAGAAUGUAAAUGGUGUCAAACCAAAUUGGUAAUAUUUCAAACAGCAUGGAAGGAGAACCUCCUGAACUAUAGAAAAUGUCUUAGUGAUGCUAGAUCAGUCUCUCUCUCCACCUUAAUAGAAGAAAACAAAAACAAUUCUAGAUUUCUAUUCAACAUGGUAGUAAAAUUAACUAGGAAUAAAACCACCAGAGAAACAGGUACACAAUCAUUAUAUAGCAGCAAAGAUUUCAUGAUUUUCUCAUUGAUAAAGUUGAAAAUAUUAGAUGUGAAAUUCAGGCUAUUAA
Long non-coding RNA from Ictalurus furcatus (blue catfish), 1031 nucleotides. RefSeq lists it as uncharacterized. The record is from RefSeq and is a predicted model, not a curated record. NCBI's taxonomy places the organism in Eukaryota, Metazoa, Chordata, Actinopteri, Siluriformes, Ictaluridae. The transcript has 3 exons.